RNAcentral lists this unclassified non-coding RNA (144 nucleotides) under uncultured Helotiales. RNAcentral describes it as "sequence contains ITS2". Lineage: Eukaryota; Fungi; Ascomycota; Leotiomycetes; Helotiales. The record is from RNAcentral.
UCACUAAUCAAGCUCUGCUUGGACUUGGGGCUCGCUAUACCGGCGGCUCUUAAAAUCAGUGGCGGUGCCGUCUGGCUCUAAGCGUAGUAAUAUUCCUCGCUAUAGAGUCCAGCCUUCCACCCGCCAAAACCCCCAAUUUUCUUA